AGAGUUUGAUCAUGGCUCAGGAUGAACGCUGGCGGCGUGCCUAAUACAUGCAAGUCGUGCGGAAAGGCCACUUCGGUGGUACUCGAGCGGCGGACGGCAGAGUAACGCGUAGGAACAUACCCCAAACUGAGGGAUAACUGCUCGAAAGAGUAGCUAAUACCGCAUGUGAUCUUCGGAUUAAAGCUUCGGCGGUUUGGGAAUGGCCUGCGUCCGAUUAGCUUGUUGGUGAGGUAAUAGCUCACCAAGGCGACGAUCGGUAGCUGGUCUGAGAGGAUGAUCAGCCUGACUGGAACUGAGAACGGUCCAGACUCCUACGGGAGGCAGCAGUAGGGAAUUUUCCACAAUGGGCGAAAGCCUGAUGGAGCAACGCCGCGUGCAGGAUGAAUGCCUUCGGGUUGUAAACUGCUUUUAUUAGUGAAGAAUAUGACGGUAACUAAUGAAUAAGGGUCGGCUGACUACGUG
Molecule: ribosomal RNA, 462 nt
Filed under: uncultured bacterium
Lineage: Bacteria
Description: bacterial SSU rRNA
Rfam family: Bacterial small subunit ribosomal RNA
Source: RNAcentral